Molecule: long non-coding RNA, 670 nt
Filed under: Helianthus annuus (common sunflower)
Lineage: Eukaryota; Viridiplantae; Streptophyta; Magnoliopsida; Asterales; Asteraceae
Source: RNAcentral
UUUUGUUAACUGUGACCGUCAAGGCUUUUUAGAAUUCCUAGGGUUUUGAACAAGUUAACCUCUCCCCAAAAUUGACCGUCACGUUCCAUAUCUCCCAACAGGGCUUAGCAAUUCGCGGCUAUUUGAUUUUGAAGAACUGAUCCUACUUUCGUGAUUGCCAUAAAUACAGGUUUUCACCAUCUCUAUUGAUAUGAAUGAUUUGAAGUUAGUUUUGGAUUGUGGUGAGAAGAUCAAGUUACUUGUUGACAAGACAGAAACCUUCAAUUUCAGAUUGAAAAGCUGAACUUGGCUGUGAAGAAGAAGAUCAUCAAGCAAAAAGGAAAAAGAGGAAGACCAAGAAAGGUUAAAUGGGGUGAAAGUGAGGUUGUUGGCCGAAAAAGAUAAGGUGGAUAAAGAAGCUAUGCUCAAUAAGAUGACACAAAUUGAAGAUAUGUUAACAGCUACGGUUCGAAGAUAGGCUAUAAACACUAGGUUUUGAAUGUUGAGAUGUUUAUCAUAUAGGAUAAUUACGGUUAUUUGAUGUUUAGUUGAUAUUUUUAUUAGAAUGUUUUAUAUGAUUUUCAAAUAGGAAAAACUAAAUCAGAGAUGUUUUAUAUAGUUUUUGGGGUUUGUAAUUUUAUUAGAGUGUUUAAUACAGUUCUGUAAUUUUAAUGAAGAAAUGUAAAAACUG